AAUCGCCUCCGUUGGUUCGGCUCAUUCUCUGAUGCUGUUUCAGUUUAUCGUUAAAAACGAAAACCGAUCUAGCCCAUGGCCAUGUGGUAACAUCUCGCUCUCUAGUCUGACUCUAGAACUCUCCAAGCUUUUCUCUAUGCAUCUUUCCCUCUUCUAAUCCAUAGCUCCAGGGCCCAUUCCCGUUGCAGUGACCAGCCAUCCGUAAACGAAUGAUAGAACCCCAGCCAAGCUACACUGGCAGAAAGGUUUUGAAGCAUUCAUGCAGGAAUGAAGUCAUGUAUCUUGAAGUUAGCAGGACUAAUUUUCAGUUUUACUGAAGAUUUAGAUUUGAUAUAUGUUAACUUACUUUUAGUUUGAAACAAGUAAUGAGGCAAAAAGGAUUGAGUAUUAUGUUGAAUUGUCGAAUUUUGACACUUAAGUGUCUUUGUUUAUUUAUACAAAACCAUUACAAGGAUGUAUGGCACAAACCAAGAGAAUGUGAUUUAUC
Long non-coding RNA from Quercus robur (English oak), 487 nucleotides. RefSeq lists it as uncharacterized. Lineage: Eukaryota; Viridiplantae; Streptophyta; Magnoliopsida; Fagales; Fagaceae. The record is from RefSeq and is a predicted model, not a curated record. The transcript is spliced from 2 exons.